Ictidomys tridecemlineatus (thirteen-lined ground squirrel) is the source of this 72-nucleotide non-coding RNA. NCBI's taxonomy places the organism in Eukaryota, Metazoa, Chordata, Mammalia, Rodentia, Sciuridae. The record is from Rfam.
AGAAUUAAUGAUGACUAUUGUUAACAUGAAUUGCAAUUAAUGAAUAGGUGUUUUUGAGACUCUGAGGUCCAC